RNAcentral lists this transfer RNA (75 nucleotides) under Clostridiaceae bacterium. RNAcentral's name for it is "tRNA-Gly". It matches the Rfam family "tRNA". From Rfam's summary of the family: Transfer RNA (tRNA) molecules are approximately 80 nucleotides in length. Their secondary structure includes four short double-helical elements and three loops (D, anti-codon, and T loops). Lineage: Bacteria; Bacillati; Bacillota; Clostridia; Eubacteriales; Clostridiaceae. RNAcentral also lists the same sequence under 2 other names. The record is from RNAcentral.
GCGGGGGUAAUUCAGUGGUAGAAUGCUUCCUUGCCAAGGAAGAUGUCGCGAGUUCGAGUCUCGUCUCCCGCUCCA